UACGUAGGGUCCAAGCGUUGUCCGGAAUUACUGGGCGUAAAGGGCUCGUAGGCGGCCAACUAAGUCGGAUGUGAAAUCCCCAAGCUUAACUUGGGAACUGCAUCCGAUACUGGAUGGCUUGAAUCCGGGAGAGGGAUGCAGAAUUCCAGGUGUAGCGGUGAAAUGCGUAGAUAUCUGGAGGAAUACCGGUGGCGAAGGCGGCAUCCUGGACCGGCAUUGACGCUGAGGAGCGAAAGCUAGGGGAGCAAACGGG
This 253-nucleotide ribosomal RNA is filed under the name uncultured bacterium. Its description in RNAcentral is "partial 16S ribosomal RNA". It matches the Rfam family "Bacterial small subunit ribosomal RNA", at positions 524 to 776 of the family's 1533-position model. The record is from RNAcentral.